GCUGAUCAAGGAGUAGAGAAAGGGGAGGGAAAUUUUCUUUUCAUCAUUUCUUCUUUCUUUGUGCCAGAAUCAACCAUUCAAGAGAGGUGAGUGUGGUUUUCUUUUCUUUUUUUCAUGCUUUCCUAUCCAAUAAAAAAAGAUUUUUGGUGUUGUUGAAAGGAACACAUCAUCUUCCCCCAUCACGCCUAAUUAUCGUUGGGGAGGAAAGAGUAUGAUUUUUGGUGUUUCUUUGAUAAUCUUUGAGAGGAUUUGGGUGCGUAAUGAGAAAUCCUUAGGAAUCAACUUUAGGAGAAAUUGAGUUGAGUUAGAUAGGAUUUUUCGAUGGGCUUAUGAAAGUGAGAGAUUUAAUUGCAUCCAUAUCAGUUGAUUAAGGUUUUUAAAAGAUUAAUUUUCAUUAAUUUUAUUAAUAACGAUUUUUUAUUGUGUUAUGGAAGCGAAAAAUGAAAGACAACUUUUUAAAAGGGAAAAAAAAGGAUUGAUUGAAAUCAAAGCUUUUUUUCUCUAUUUUUUUAAAAUACUCCAUGAAUACUCCAGUAAUAAUUAAUAUUAAAAAGGAUUUUGAUAUGUGUAGAUAUUAUGGUUAGUUUAAUAAUUGGGAAAAUUUUGGAAAUAAAAUUUAAUUCUGAUAUGAGAAUUGAUUGUUAGUUUUGUUAAGUUGUGUUGUUUGAUUGCAAAUAAAAGAUUUACUAGUAUUCUAUGGUAAUUUUGAUUGUUACUUUUGUUCCACUUCAUGUUUAAACAAUAAUUUUGGUGCGGUUAAAGUUUUUAAGUUGACAAGUUUGACUUUUUAAUGAGAUGUUUUAUGACUUAAUUUUGUUGAACAACAAAUGAGGAAGUAAUUAAGUGCUACAACAUGUGGUGAGCAUUAUCCUUCAAUUGACAACCUUGAAGAAGGAGAGAAGUUUGAACUUUCGUGGAUACUCCUUUCCUUAUAGGCUUGUUAUGGGAUAAUUACUCAAUACAUUUCAAGUGGUAAAUCCAACUUUUAAAUGAGAGAUGAACACUCUUCAGUAUUAGCCUAUAAAUAGGUUGUUUGUGUUACACCUGGUGUGGAGUUGUAUUUUUCUUGUAUUUUAUUUGGCACUCUUUUAAGUUUUAUUGGAGAGAUUUGAUUGAUUGUAUUGUAAGAUAUUUGGGAGACUAGUUUUUAUAAAGGGA
Molecule: long non-coding RNA, 1158 nt
Filed under: Gossypium barbadense (sea-island cotton)
Lineage: Eukaryota; Viridiplantae; Streptophyta; Magnoliopsida; Malvales; Malvaceae
Description: long non-coding RNA (GBAR_LNC004086)
Source: RNAcentral